This 253-nucleotide ribosomal RNA is filed under the name uncultured bacterium. Its description in RNAcentral is "partial 16S ribosomal RNA". It matches the Rfam family "Bacterial small subunit ribosomal RNA", at positions 524 to 776 of the family's 1533-position model. The record is from RNAcentral.
UACGGAGGGUGCAAGCGUUGCUCGGAAUUAUUGGGCGUAAAGGGUAGGUAGGUGGUCUCAUUUGUCUGGGGUGAAAGCCUUGAGCUUAACUCAAGAAGUGCCCCAGAAACGGUGAGACUAGAGUCCUGGAGAGGGUCGUGGAAUUCCCGGUGUAGCGGUGAAAUGCGUAGAGAUCGGGAGGAACACCAGAGGCGAAGGCGGCGACCUGGACAGGAACUGACACUGAGGCACGAAGGCCAGGGGAGCAAACGGG